GUCGUUUUGUUGCCGUAAGAGCAACGCGUUGAAGGUUCCGCGCUUUCGGUUGAGCAUGUUGCGACAGUGAACGUAGCCGGCAAAAUGCACGCGUUGUUCGGUGAACAGAGCCCCUAUGCGUACCGCGGAGGAGCCGCUGGAGGCUACUCAGCAGGUGUGACGCCAUAUGCUUAUGAACAAUAUCGCUACGGAUAUGGAGCCCCCUACCUUCAUCCUCAUCAACAACAUGUUGGCGCCCCAAAAGAUAUGGUAAAGCCACCCUACUCCUAUAUCGCCUUGAUAGCGAUGGCCAUACAAAACGCUCCUGAAAGACGCAUAACACUAAACGGUAUUUAUCAAUUUAUAAUGGAACGCUUUCCCUACUACAGAGAAAACAAACAAGGUUGGCAGAACUCCAUACGACAUAAUCUAAGUCUCAAUGAGUGCUUCGUGAAAGUGGCAAGAGACGAUAAAAAACCCGGUAAAGGAAGUUACUGGACACUAGAUCCCGAUUCAUAUAAUAUGUUUGAUAACGGUUCAUACUUGCGCCGGCGGCGUCGCUUCAAAAAGAAAGAUGCGCUUAGAGAGAAAGAAGAAGCACUAAAGAGACAGCAGCAAAUGCAUCAAGCUCAAGAAGCACUGAGCGCACAGGAAGCGCUUAGUGCUGCGGAUGCGCUUGGACCACAACGUGACGUAAAGCCUGACGUUAAACCUCGCAUUUUCGAGUGUCGGCCGAAACGAGAACCGGGCGCAGAUUGUGCGCGAUAUGACAAACCAGUGGAUACUCUUGACGACUUCAGUGAACCGCGACUUCCAGCUUCAGCCGUCUACUGUUCGCCGCAACCGUACUCACUGGUAGCUGAAGAAUUUCGUGCCGCCACGUCCGGAUGGUACGCAGCACCCGAACCUCCAACCGAGCAACUACCGCCAGCAUUCCGCGAUCUGUUCGAGCCGCCAAGCUGUCAGUUGGCCGGCUUCCGCAGCGGUUCUCCCGUACCAGACGCAUACCGGGCGUCGCCACCGCCACAUCACCACUACCGCACGCCCGCACCCUCAUACUAUCAUCAUCAAGCGUGCGUCGCCGCCGCUCCUGCGCCAGCACACAAGUCCUACUGAGACCAUGCCCUCAGGAGGCCGGCAUCGCUCGGCGCCGAACGGAUUUAGCCGCACGCGUCAGUUCCAGAGCGGAUAAAUAUAGCGCAGUUGCCGGAGAUGCCGUGGAGGCAAGUGGCGGCGCGUCGAUAACCACUGUUCAGAUCGGCGGCCGACCCUGCCGCCUCCCGCUCCGUUAACACCUAUAGGUUUAGCGGAACCAGAAUACAGCGGGAGGCUGAGUGCAGGGGUGACGCAAAUAUUUAACGUGUCUGGAAGAUAUGGCCACUUAGUGUCGUAAGAACUAUGAUGUAUUAAGCGUGGUGCACAACUUUUAGCAAAUGUUUAUAAUUUAUAUUGUUCAAGCUAUCGUCUAUGUAUCUCCGCAGGAGAUAUCAUCAAAUGAUAGUGUCCGAAGACUUAAUUUAGUAUGUAUAUUCGUAUUCGUUUACCUAUGAACUUAAUAUAAUAAAUAGUUAAGACGAAAUCCGAUAAUUCCGAAAUAAUGUAGCGUUCAAUAAAUUGAUAUAGGUGCGUAGGCCAAGGCACAACAAAAUUUCAGUAUUAUUCACUAAAUCAGUAUUAUGUACCUGCAUGCAUGUACGUAUCACUCGGUCUCCAGAAAAUAUUGUUAGAUGAAAAUGUAAAUAUUUAGUUUUAAGUAAGUAUAAUACUUAAUUGUUCUAUAAAGCGUAGAUUUCCCCUGUCAAGAAAUAAAGUGUUUGUGAAAAUAAGUACAGGGGAUGUGCUGUUAUUCUAGUCUGCUACGUUAAGCAAAAUAUUUGUAAAAUAGACACCUUAACUGGAAAAUAAUAUUGAUUACGUUUUAUGUAUGUUGGGCGAUACCGGCGAUAGAAGAUGACACUUAUUUUGAAUGAUUUGUCUUGUUCUCAUUAGUCGCAAAACGACGAUUUUUACUCAGCUUGACAUUGCAAUCGUGCAGAAAGUUGCAGUUAAUGUAUCAACUUCUUGAGUAGGUAUAUUAUGUAGAUACGU
Molecule: RNA transcript, 2067 nt
Organism: Helicoverpa zea (corn earworm)
Lineage: Eukaryota; Metazoa; Arthropoda; Insecta; Lepidoptera; Noctuidae
Gene: croc
Gene name: fork head domain-containing protein crocodile-like
Exons: 3
Source: RefSeq, a predicted model, not a curated record